RNAcentral lists this ribosomal RNA (253 nucleotides) under uncultured bacterium. RNAcentral describes it as "partial 16S ribosomal RNA". It matches the Rfam family "Bacterial small subunit ribosomal RNA", at positions 524 to 777 of the family's 1533-position model. The record is from RNAcentral.
UACGGAGGGAGCUAGCGUUGCUCGGAAUCACUGGGCGUAAAGGGUGCGUAGGCGGGUCUUUAAGUCAGGGGUGAAAUCCUGGAGCUCAACUCCAGAACUGCCUUUGAUACUGAAGAUCUUGAGUUCGGGAGAGGUGAGUGGAACUGCGAGUGUAGAGGUGAAAUUCGUAGAUAUUCGCAAGAACACCAGUGGCGAAGGCGGCUCACUGGCCCGAUACUGACGCUGAGGCACGAAAGCGUGGGAGCAAACAGGG